RNAcentral lists this ribosomal RNA (253 nucleotides) under uncultured bacterium. Its description in RNAcentral is "partial 16S ribosomal RNA". It matches the Rfam family "Bacterial small subunit ribosomal RNA", at positions 524 to 776 of the family's 1533-position model. The record is from RNAcentral.
UACGUAGGGGGCAAGCGUUGUCCGGAUUUAUUGGGCGUAAAGAGCGUGUAGGCGGCCAGAUAGGUCCGUUGUGAAAACUCGAGGCUCAACCUCGAGACGCCGAUGGAAACCAUUUGGCUAGAGUCCGGAAGAGGCGAGUGGAAUUCCUGGUGUAGCGGUGGAAUGCGCAGAUAUCAGGAAGAACACCGGUGGCGAAGGCGGCUCGCUGGGCCAUUUCUGACGCUGAGGCGCGAAAGCGUGGGGAGCAAACAGG